RNAcentral lists this long non-coding RNA (323 nucleotides) under Mytilus galloprovincialis (Mediterranean mussel). Lineage: Eukaryota; Metazoa; Mollusca; Bivalvia; Mytilida; Mytilidae. The record is from RNAcentral.
GAGCCUUAUAAUUCCGUGGUUCAACAACGUUGCUGUCUUUAAUACAUUGCUUUGUUUUUUUCCUUAUUUAUCUUGUUUUUUUCAUUUUAGCUUAACUCGGGCUGUUGGUUUUCUCUAGCUUUCUCCUAGAUUGAAGAAUGCCAUCAAAGCUGUUGUAAACGAAAGUGCUCCGGAAGGGUAGAUAGUUCAUGCUCAACUAGUAACUUUCUAUUCCAAUUAAAAAGAACCUUUAUUGAGCAGUUUCAUAUGUACAUCCCAUAUAAAUUAUUAUUUUCGACAGUAAUUUUGCCUCAGACAAAUCUGUUUGAUUUACUAUAACUUUG